Molecule: ribosomal RNA, 492 nt
Filed under: Triticum aestivum (bread wheat)
Lineage: Eukaryota; Viridiplantae; Streptophyta; Magnoliopsida; Poales; Poaceae
Description: partial small subunit ribosomal RNA
Source: RNAcentral
AUGGCGCCCGCCGAGAUCCUGCGCAUCCUCUCCGUCGACGCGCCGUCGUCGCAUGAGGACUUGGACGCCUGGCUCGCUGACACCUCCCCCAAAUCCUACAGGAGGUGUGUGUUGUGUGCUGCAGCAGGUUUGGAUGCGGCAAUCAAGACCAUGGCUCGGCUUGGGGAGCAUCAAGCAUCGACUGAUGUGAGGAGGCCAAGGUUUGAUCGGAUCAGGGUCAGCAGAUCGGCGGCGGCAUCCCACAGGAUAACUCGACGGGUGUGGCCAUCACAACGACAUCACGGUAUCGUUGGCCAACCUGUUACAUUAUUAAAAUCAGGCGAGGAAGAGCGCGCCAAUGGAUUUUCCUACCCAGGACUUUGUACUGUACUAAUAUUCAGAAAAAUGUUUGUUUGUAUCUCUUUCAGGUUAAAAAAAUGGUCUUCUAUGGGUUACAAACCAAUGCUUGCUUGCGUACACUCUGGUGCUCCAGUUAAAGAUGGAAAGUUAUAA